Long non-coding RNA from Pogoniulus pusillus (Red-fronted tinkerbird), 1121 nucleotides. RefSeq lists it as uncharacterized. The transcript is spliced from 2 exons. NCBI's taxonomy places the organism in Eukaryota, Metazoa, Chordata, Aves, Piciformes, Lybiidae. The record is from RefSeq and is a predicted model, not a curated record.
GAGCAGAAGCUGGUAACGUAGAGUGGAGAGGAGGAGGAGGAAAGCAGCAGAGACUGCCCGGGGGAAGGCAGAGAGUGGGGGCAGGACGGCAGGGGCUGCCCGGGGAAAGGUGGAGGGGCUGCGGCAGGAGGGCAGGGAAGAGGUACAGAGCUUUCAGAUGCUGAGCUUCAACAGAAAGACCUCAUGGAAAAGAAAAGAGACUAACUUGUUUAGCAAAAGUACUCUCUGGAAUUUCCCAAAUCGCUUAUUUAUUGAAGGGAGUCAUUUGUUGGUCAUUGUCAUCACGCGAGGUCCCUUCCAACCUAAACCAUUCAAUGAAGUCUUUUAUCAGUCUUUUAUAGGAUUAGUGACAGUGGGGAAUGUUUGCUUGCUAUGGGAUAAGGGAGCUGUUUCCUAAAUGGAAUGUUCAUUAGUUCUUUAGCACCUGAAAAUGUUGGCAGGCUACUUGAUAAACCUCCUGGAACACAGGGGCCUGUUGAAUUGUUUUCCCAGUGCCUGAACAACUUACAGUGCUGUAAUGGGUUAACCUCUUGUUUCCCUCCAACACAGAAGUGAGGCAAAAGUAACACAGCCAAGGAAAAACCCUCUGGGUUGAGAUCAAGAGGUAAAUACAAAAUGAGAUCCUGCAGUGCACAAUUACUUUAGCCUGUUUCUGUUUGCAGAAAGCAGGAGUCAGCCACCUGCCACCCAUCCCCUCCUGACCCCAACCCCAGAAACCCAAAGCAGCACUUGGCACAGGAGGUCUCUCGUGUUGCAGUCUCAACUUCAAGCCCUGGAAUACUUUGCUUCAGCCAGCAGCAUGGGGUUGGAUACCAACAGCAGAGUCGACUUAACCUGUGACUAAGUGAACUUCAAGUUUUCUGACUCCACAGUAGAACUUGAUAAAGAAAGAUGUGAAUGGAAGCAGGCUCUGACUGCUCUGUGUAACUGAUGAGAAGCUUUCUGAAGGAGUUUUGGCUCAGGCUGGUGUGAAGUGUCUCUGGAUCGAGGUCCUUGUGGUCCCUUCUGACCCUGACUGAUUCUAUGAUUCCAGCAAGCAGCUUUUGACUUAAAAACCCCUGAGGUCACUGCAGCACCUCUCUAUGGAAUAAAAGAAAGGGAUUUUGCUGCACUGCUGAGAA